RNAcentral lists this ribosomal RNA (1717 nucleotides) under human gut metagenome. RNAcentral's name for it is "bacterial LSU rRNA". It matches the Rfam family "Bacterial large subunit ribosomal RNA", at positions 571 to 2304 of the family's 2925-position model. The record is from RNAcentral.
AAGUUCGAGCCCGUUAAUGGGUGAGAGCGUGCCUUUUGUAGAAUGAACCGGCGAGUUACGAUAUGAUGCGAGGUUAAGUUGAAGAGACGGAGCCGUAGGGAAACCGAGUCUUAAUAGGGCGUAUUAGUAUCAUGUCGUAGACCCGAAACCAUGUGACCUACCCAUGAGCAGGUUGAAGGUGAGGUAAAACUCACUGGAGGACCGAACCAGGGCACGUUGAAAAGUGCUUGGAUGACUUGUGGGUAGCGGAGAAAUUCCAAACGAACUUGGAGAUAGCUGGUUCUCUCCGAAAUAGCUUUAGGGCUAGCGUCGAUGUUAAGUCUCUUGGAGGUAGAGCACUGUUUGGGUGAGGGGUCCAUCCCGGAUUACCAAUCUCAGAUAAACUCCGAAUGCCAACGAGAUAUAAUCGGCAGUCAGACUGCGAGUGCUAAGAUCCGUAGUCGAAAGGGAAACAGCCCAGACCACCAGCUAAGGUCCCAAAAUAUAUGUUAAGUGGAAAAGGAUGUGGGGUUGCACAGACAACUAGGAUGUUAGCUUAGAAGCAGCUAUUCAUUCAAAGAGUGCGUAAUAGCUCACUAGUCGAGUGACCCUGCGCCGAAAAUGUACCGGGGCUAAAACAUAUUACCGAAGCUGUGGAUACCUUUAUAGGUAUGGUAGGAGAGCGUUCUAUGUGCGAAGAAGGUGUACCGUGAGGAGUGCUGGAGCGCAUAGAAGUGAGAAUGCCGGUAUGAGUAGCGAAAGACAGGUGAGAAUCCUGUCCACCGUAAGACUAAGGUUUCCAGGGGAAGGCUCGUCCGCCCUGGGUUAGUCGGGACCUAAGGAGAGACCGAAAGGUGUAUCCGAUGGACAACAGGUUGAUAUUCCUGUACUAGAGUAUAUAGUGAUGGAGGGACGCAGUAGGCUAACUAAACCAGACGAUUGGAAGUGUCUGGCCAAGCAGUGAGGUGUGAUAUGAGUCAAAUGCUUAUAUCUAUAACAUUGAGCUGUGAUGGGGAGCGAAGUUUAGUAGCGAAGUUAGUGAUGUCACACUGCCGAGAAAAGCUUCUAGCGUUAAUUAUACUCUACCCGUACCGCAAACCGACACAGGUAGUCGAGGCGAGUAGCCUCAGGUGAGCGAGAGAACUCUCGUUAAGGAACUCGGCAAAAUGGCCCCGUAACUUCGGGAGAAGGGGCGCUGACUUAUGGUCAGCCGCAGUGAAUAGGCCCAAGCAACUGUUUAUCAAAAACACAGCUCUCUGCUAAAUCGUAAGAUGAUGUAUAGGGGGUGACGCCUGCCCGGUGCUGGAAGGUUAAGAGGAGUGCUUAGCAAUAGCGAAGGUAUGAAUUGAAGCCCCAGUAAACGGCGGCCGUAACUAUAACGGUCCUAAGGUAGCGAAAUUCCUUGUCGGGUAAGUUCCGACCCGCACGAAAGGCGUAAUGAUUUGGGCACUGUCUCAACGAGAGACUCGGUGAAAUUUUAGUACCUGUGAAGAUGCAGGUUACCCGCGACAGGACGGAAAGACCCCAUGGAGCUUUACUGCAGUUUGAUAUUGAGUAUCUGUACCACAUGUACAGGAUAGGUAGGAGCCUAUGACCUCGGGACGCCAGUUUCGAGUGAGGCGUUGUUGGGAUACUACCCUUGUGUUAUGGCUACUCUAACCCAGAUAGGUUAUCCCUAUCGGAGACAGUGUCUGACGGGCAGUUUGACUGGGGCGGUCGCCUCCUAAAAGGUAACGGA